RNAcentral lists this transfer RNA (100 nucleotides) under Anopheles culicifacies. RNAcentral's name for it is "tRNA tRNA-Tyr". It matches the Rfam family "tRNA". Rfam says of the family: Transfer RNA (tRNA) molecules are approximately 80 nucleotides in length. The record is from RNAcentral. Lineage: Eukaryota; Metazoa; Arthropoda; Insecta; Diptera; Culicidae.
CCUUCGAUAGCUCAGUUGGUAGAGCGGUGGACUGUAGAGAGACAACGAAUCAAAACAAAUAGUGAUCCAUAGGUCGCUGGUUCAAAUCCGGCUCGAAGGA